This 464-nucleotide ribosomal RNA is filed under the name Vreelandella stevensii. RNAcentral's name for it is "partial 16S ribosomal RNA". It matches the Rfam family "Bacterial small subunit ribosomal RNA", at positions 338 to 795 of the family's 1533-position model. Lineage: Bacteria; Pseudomonadati; Pseudomonadota; Gammaproteobacteria; Oceanospirillales; Halomonadaceae. The record is from RNAcentral.
CCUACGGUGGCUGCAGUGGGGAAUAUUGGACAAUGGGCGAAAGCCUGAUCCAGCCAUGCCGCGUGUGUGAAGAAGGCCUUCGGGUUGUAAAGCACUUUCAGUGGGGAAGAAAGCCUUGGGGCUAAUACCCUCGAGGAAGGACAUCACCCACAGAAGAAGCACCGGCUAACUCCGUGCCAGCAGCCGCGGUAAUACGGAGGGUGCGAGCGUUAAUCGGAAUUACUGGGCGUAAAGCGCGCGUAGGCGGUCUGAUAAGCCGGUUGUGAAAGCCCCGGGCUCAACCUGGGAACGGCACCCGGAACUGUCAGGCUAGAGUGCAGGAGAGGAAGGUAGAAUUCCCGGUGUAGCGGUGAAAUGCGUAGAGAUCGGGAGGAAUACCAGUGGCGAAGGCGGCCUUCUGGACUGACACUGACGCUGAGGUGCGAAAGCGUGGGUAGCAAACAGGAUUAGAUACCCGAGUAGUC